RNAcentral lists this long non-coding RNA (1570 nucleotides) under Homo sapiens (human). RNAcentral's name for it is "HSALNT0383614". Lineage: Eukaryota; Metazoa; Chordata; Mammalia; Primates; Hominidae. The record is from RNAcentral.
CUAGAACGGGUUUUAUGGAUUGACACCCAACUGGUGUAACAUUUCUCAGCUGUACUGUUUGCUCCAAGGACUUUAAGCUGCUUUUUAGGUUUUCAGAACAAGAUUGUGCCAGCUUCAGGAAAUGGUUUUUGAAUUUCUCCAUAUUUGUUACAGACAACUUAAAUGCUAUGCAGCUGGUUUGAGCCUUAUCUUCUUGGUGAUUUUUGGAAGGUAAAUCAUUUGGGCUCAUGAGGAACAGAGGAGCCAAACCACUAUUGAGAAGAUUGCUGUUCACCAUUUUGACAACCACACAAGCCACAGAUGAUACUCUCAGAUUCUAAAGCCUGCCUCCAUUCUCUGGCUGUGGCCCCUUCCUCCAUCUUCAAAUCUAGCAAUUCUGCGAAAAUCUUUCUUAUGAUGCAUUUCUCUGGUUCCAACUCCUCUGCCUCCCCUUUCACCAUUUAAGGACCCUCUGAUUAAACUGGACUCACCCAGAAAAUCCAGGGUAAUCUUUUCAUUUUAACAUCAGCUGAUUGGCAACCUUGCUUCCAUCUGCUACCUGAAUUCCCUUAGCCAUGUAAGGUAAUAUAUUCACAAGUUCUGGAGAAGAAGACAUGUACUUCUUUGGAGUGACAGAGGGACUAGCUACUACACACUGGAAGAAUCAAAUAUUCAAUAUGAGGAUAUUGACACAAGGAAGAACACAUACAAGAAUUUUAUGUAAAAGGGGUCUAAGAAUGACCAGGAGUUAAUGCGGUAAAGAGAGCAUGAAAGAACAUUUCAAUCCCCAGGAACAGUGCGAGCAAAGGAAUGAAGUGAAGAGAGGAAAUCAAGUCUGGGUUAUCGGACUUACUGCUGAGUGAUUUUACAGCUUGGAAGUAACACUUCUCUGGUAGCCAGGUUCUCCAGAAGUGUGCUUGUGAGCUCACAGAACUUAGAGACCAAGAAAGUCAAAGAAGAAAGGGACUGAAGAAUGUCAAGGAAAUGACCUAGCACUACAAGCCAUAAAGUAAUGACAGUUUCAAGGGGAAGAAUAGAGAGAAAGAGGAAUCAUGUGGAGAGGAAGAAGGUGGGGAGUUAAGGAGAGAAUUUGGUUAUAGCCAACAGGAAUAGAUCUGACAACUGAAAUUCUUAUGGGUAAAGGCAUUGUGGACAAAUACAAACUCACACACAAUGGGUUCCAAAAUAAUUUAUUUCUGCCCUGCAUUAGAAGAUGGGUGUCUGCUCAACCUAGAUGAGGCUCAACAAUAUCUCAGAGGGAAUCCAUAUGUCAUCAUUUCUGGCCAGUGACCUCUGAGUGGAAGUCUGAGAAGAAGUUUCUGGGAAGAAGAGUCCUGUUAUGUCCUCACUCUGUUGUUUCCUGUGAAGGAUACUGGUGGGCAGAAGGGAAGACUAGAUUGAGGCAUCCAUCUUGACAUCAUGAGAUAAAGACCAUCAAAAUUCCAGAAGUACCUAAACAAAUGCUGGAAGCAAUCAACCAAUGAUGAGACCACCUCCCGCCAAGGGAGAGGAGAAGGCAGCCAUCCGCACAAUGUUAACUGAGGUAUAUGUUGAGAAGAUCACCUGAAAUGAAAUAUGAAUCUCAUUGAAG